CCCCCUCAGCCUCCCAAGGUGCUGGUAUUGUAAGUGUGAGCCACUGCGCCCGAGAAGUUAAUAUGAGAACUCUUCUAAGCAAAAUGAAGUAAAUCCUGUAAACCAAUGUUUCACUGUAAGAAUUGGGAAAAGCUGGAAAUUUAAAACUAUCAUAUUUUUAGGGGAUUUGGAGACCUGUAGAAUCAAAGAGAACUAGAUAAACUAAAAUGCCAGGGUUAAGAAAACUGUUUCAAGAUGAAUCACAAAUGGUCAGCCCAUCCUCCCGCACCCCCUACCCCUGUCCCACAUACACAUAACAGUUUAACAAAAAAAAAAAAAGAAAAUAUUUUGGAGGCUUUACUAUACAAAUUAUCUCAUAACCCAUGUUUUCCUCUGGCUAUGCAUCCAGCACCUUACGCAGAAGAUAAGGAAUCUCACCUGGUCCUAUCGCUCCACCUAGUGGCAACCAUUAGGAAGCAAUUUAACUGCCUUGCGACCAGCUAUAGAGGUUCGUUGGGAAUGAUGGGUUUGCUUUACUGUCUUGCCUUCCUCUUCUAGGAGAUCAUGAUUAGCAGCCUUAAAGAAGAGUCUGUGAUUAAUUAGACCUGAACCUCUCCUCACAGGAAACGAGUGAGAACAUUUUCGUUCCCAAGGGAUAAAAAGGAAUCCCAUAUUGUUUCUUGGGAGCUGGUAUGGGAGCUGAUGUCCAGAAAGGUCCGGAGACUGAAUGUGACCAUCCAGAAGUGAAGGACUUAGCUCCUCGGAGGCUAUAUGGAGGAAACAGCAGAGAAGGGCAAAUUUUAAAAGUGGGAGAAAACUGGUAUGCAUAUUUUCAACCAAGUGAAAACAUCAAGGAGGUUAAAGUAAUCAACUGGGUCAAACGCUGGUGAGAGGUCAAAUAAGGUAAGAUGAGGACUUGAAGCUGGUGACCAUACAUUUAAAGUGAAGUCAGUGGGUAUGGUGGGAUGUGUUUUGUUGUGGUGGUUGUUGUUG
Molecule: non-coding RNA, 972 nt
Organism: Macaca mulatta (Rhesus monkey)
Lineage: Eukaryota; Metazoa; Chordata; Mammalia; Primates; Cercopithecidae
Source: RefSeq, a predicted model, not a curated record